AGAGUUUGAUUCUGGCUCAGGACGAACGCUGGCGGCGUGCUUAACACAUGCAAGUCGAGCGAUGAAGUUUCUUCGGAAAUGGAUUAGCGGCGAACGGGUGAGGAACACGUGAAGAAUCUGCCCUCCACUUUGGGAUAACACAGGGAAACCUGUGCUAAUACCGAAUAUUGAAACAUAAGUGGCAUCACUGAGUUUUGAAAGAAUUUCGGUGGAGGAUGACUUCGCGGCCUAUCAGCUAGUUGGUGAGGUAAUGGCUCACCAAGGCAACGACGGGUAGCCGGCCUGAGAGGGCGACCGGCCACACUGGGACUGAGACACGGCCCAGACUCCUACGGGAGGCAGCAGUGGGGAAUAUUGGGCAAUGGAGGAAACUCUGACCCAGCGACGCCGCGUGCGGGAUGAAGGCCUUCGGGUUGUAAACCGCUUUCAGUAGGGAAGAAGCGAAAGUGACGGUACCUACAAAAGAAGCACCGGCUAACUAUGUGCCAGCAGCCGCGGUAAUACAUAGGGUGCAAGCGUUGUCCGGAAUUAUUGGGCGUAAAGAGCUCGUAGGUUGUUUGUUACGUCGGAUGUGAAAACCUGAGGCUCAACCUCAGGCCUGCAUUCGAUACGGGCAAACUAGAGUUUGGUAGGGGAGACUGGAAUUCCUGGUGUAGCGGUGAAAUGCGCAGAUAUCAGGAGGAACACCAAUGGCGAAGGCAGGUCUCUGGGCCAAUACUGACACUGAGGAGCGAAAGUCUGGGGAGCGAACAGGAUUAGAUACCCUGGUAGUCCAGACCGUAAACGGUGGGCACUAGUUGUGGGGACCUUCCACGGUCUCUGCGACGCAGCUAACGCAUUAAGUGCCCCGCCUGGGGAGUACGAUCGCAAGAU
Molecule: ribosomal RNA, 873 nt
Filed under: uncultured Actinomycetales bacterium
Lineage: Bacteria; Bacillati; Actinomycetota; Actinomycetes; Actinomycetales
Description: bacterial SSU rRNA
Rfam family: Bacterial small subunit ribosomal RNA
Source: RNAcentral